UACAGGGGGGUGCAAACGUUGCUCGGAAUCAUUGGGCGUAAAGCGCACGUAGGCGGUUCGUUAUGUCGGAUGUGAAAGCCCUUGGCUUAACCGAGGAAGUGCAUCCGAAAACUGGCGAGCUAGAGUACGAAAGAGGAUCGCGGAAUUCCCGGUGUAGAGGUGAAAUUCGGUAGAUAUCGGGAGGAGCACCGGUGGCGAAGGCGGCGACCUGGUCCUUUAC
This 220-nucleotide ribosomal RNA is filed under the name uncultured bacterium. RNAcentral's name for it is "partial 16S ribosomal RNA". It matches the Rfam family "Bacterial small subunit ribosomal RNA", at positions 524 to 740 of the family's 1533-position model. The record is from RNAcentral.